AGCUCUCAACUCACUUCUUUUGUUAAAAAGGAAGUGCAGCUUGGACUUGGAGUCUGUCGGCGUGAGUCGACUUCUCUGAAAUGCAUUAGCCCUACUGCAGAUAAACGAUGGGUAACAGUGUAGUAAUCUUUUGAUCGUCGCUGUGUCCGUUCCCCUUCCGCGGUUGGCUCACAAAGUAAAAGCAGAAGUCAAUCUUCUCUUUUUUCAAUC
Molecule: unclassified non-coding RNA, 210 nt
Filed under: uncultured Agaricomycetes
Lineage: Eukaryota; Fungi; Basidiomycota; Agaricomycetes
Description: sequence contains ITS2
Source: RNAcentral